Molecule: non-coding RNA, 709 nt
Organism: Nerophis lumbriciformis (worm pipefish)
Lineage: Eukaryota; Metazoa; Chordata; Actinopteri; Syngnathiformes; Syngnathidae
Source: RefSeq, a predicted model, not a curated record
CUCGCCGUCCAGCUCCCGGAUGUCCUCCUGGUAGAACCUCUGUCUGAGGCGCUUCAUCUGAGGCAGCUCCACGCACGUUUCCAUCAGCACCAGCAUCAGCAGCAGGCCCAGCAGCAGGUGCGACUUAUACUCCGAAAAAUACGGUAAUACCAUUUCAAUGGCUAUGGGGGUGUUACCGGUGAUGACCAGCUUGUAGAUGUGGCGGUGUGGGCUGUCCUCUUUGUCGUGCCUCUCCCCUGGCACGUAGUCUCCCAGACCGAUGGUCGUCAAGGAGAUGAAGCAGAAGUAGAGCGACUCCAGAAAGUUCCAGUCCUUCUCCAAGGCCCAGAAGAUCCAGGCGGGGAUGAUGAGCACCAGCAUGGCCACGACCGCGGCCAGGAGGGCGGCGUGGCCCACGGCGAACCUGGACUUGGACACGGCCCACCUGCGGGGGAAGUAGGAGAGGGGUCGGCGGGUCACCAGGAUCAUGAUCCUCUGCACCAUGGCGGAGAGCAAGAAGAGGGUGACGGGGAUGCCCACGAUGGAGUAGAAGAUGCAGAACGCCUUUCCUUCGUCCGACAGAGGAACCGUAUGACCGUAACCUGCACACACAUGACACUAAUUAGUCAUUAAGUCCCUCACUUGUACCAUGUUUACAUUCUAACUUAAAAAGAAGAUGUUUGACGAGCACUUCUUGGAUUGGGUCCAGAAAAAAAGUACCUUGAAAGUA